Molecule: long non-coding RNA, 264 nt
Organism: Nematostella vectensis (starlet sea anemone)
Lineage: Eukaryota; Metazoa; Cnidaria; Anthozoa; Actiniaria; Edwardsiidae
Exons: 2
Source: RefSeq, a predicted model, not a curated record
AAUAGAGACAUUGAGAAAAACUUUGGGUUGCACAGCCACUCCCCUUCUUGUCAUUUCCUUAUGAUUUUUUUUAAUAUGUGGGGGGGGGGGCAAAUGCCCCCAGUGCCCCACCCCCUGCUAUAGCCGUGAAACAGGAGUAGCUCCGUGGAAACACAGGUAUGAGUGGACCCGUGAAAAUAUGAGUAGCUCCGUGGAAACACAGGUAUGAGUGGACCCGUGAAAAUAUGAGUAGCUCCGUGGAAACACAGGUAUGAGUGGACCCGU